Molecule: long non-coding RNA, 3657 nt
Filed under: Homo sapiens (human)
Lineage: Eukaryota; Metazoa; Chordata; Mammalia; Primates; Hominidae
Description: HSALNT0069989
Source: RNAcentral
AAGGUAUUUGGCUCUCUUGCCCUUCUGCCUUCUGCCAUGUGAGGACACAGUAUUCCUCCCCACCAUGAGGGGAGCCAUCUUGGAAGCAGAGAGUGGCCUUCACAAGCAACCUCUCUGAUCUUGGACUUGCCAGCCUCCAGAACUGUGAGUUUUCUAAUGCUACGUGCAUGUGUGCGCAUAUAGCACAGCCUGUAGUGAAAAGACUGGGCAAGAAGAGGAGAUACAGCCACAGCAAUGACAGCAAAGGAGCUGAACUUCUGCUUGUCUCAGCCUUGACACACUUUUCACUUCCCACUUACUUCCCUCUCAAUACAGCCUGAUUUUUCACUGUGAAAUCUGAUAUAAAAGGAAAUGCACCUGAGGAAAUGGGUGUAUAUACACUGAAUGACAUCUCCAUGCCUUUUUAAAUUUUCCCAUUCCUUUCCACAUCCACUGCUGUAAUGCAAGGAUCUAUCAUCUGAUGAGAAUAAUGGUGGUGGAUGUGGUGGUGUAGGCAUUCACUCACUGAGGGGAAAUUUACAAAGGACCAUUUGUGGGGUUAGGGGCCAGGAGAUGUGAGGCCCCUCAGACUACUGAUGUUGGAGGUGAUCAUUGAUCUGGAAGGGAGUAAGAAUGAGGGAAUGUCAUAGUAACAACACCCAAAGAUGACAUUGAUGACUGCCCUAAAUACACAAAAACACUGGGCAUCUAUUAAGCUCUUUUUCAGAAACACUGUACACUCUGAUAGUCAUGGUGCUAUAGAUGCAAGAACAUUCACAGUUCAAAGGAGCAUUAUCUUGAUGUCAUGUACUGUGCUCAUAAACUCAGUCCACUGAAUGGAAAGACAUGGAGCCAAAAGUCACUUUCAGCCAAUGGCUUAACAUGCAAUCAAAUGUGAAUUGUAACUUUGGUCUUUGGUGGGUCUACCAUGGGACAACGUGAUUUAAUUCAAUCAAUAUGUUUAAAUAUCUACUAGUUUUUUGUUUUGUUUUGUUAUGUUUUGUUUUUGAGACAGAGUCUCACUCUGUUGCCCAGGCAGGAGUGCAAUGGUGCGAUCUAGGCUCACUGCAACCUCUGCCUCCUGGGUUCAAGCGAUUCUCCCUGCCUCAGCCUCCCAAGUAGCUGGGAUUACAGGUGUCUGCCACCACGCCCAGCUAAUUUUUGUAUUUCUAGUAGAGAACGGGUUUCAUCAUGUUGGCCAGGCUGGUCUCAAACUCCUGACCUCAGGCGAUCUGCCAGCCUCGGCCUCCCAAAGUGCUGAGAUUACAAGUGUGAGCCACCAUUCCUGGUCUAAAUGUCUACUAGUUUGUGAAGCAUUGUAGAAGUGCUUACUAGAGGUACAAAAAUUAGUAAUUCUUGCAUGGUACUACUUGCCAUCAAAAAGUCAACAGAACAUCUGCAAAUGAGACAAAUUAUGUCCAGUGAAUUCUGCCUUGUCAUUCAGAUCUAUAUCAACAAUAAAAGAAAAACAACUUAUGAAAAUUCAAAGAAUAAUUAUUUGGGGAGGAGUCAGGGAGAAAUCAGUAAGCCCGCAAGAGAAGGACACUACAUUUCAGAUGUGUCUUGAUGGAUAUACAGAUUUUCACCAGGCAAUGUGAGGGCAGGAAGUUAAUUCUAAGCAGUGGGUAAAACAGGAGAUAUAGCUGGUUAUGGUCCCAGCUACUCAGGAGGCUGAGGCAGGAGGAUUGCUUGAGGCCAGGAGUUCGAGGCUGCAGUGACCCAUAAUGGCACCACUGCACUCCAGCCUGGGCAACAGAGUGAGACUCUGAUUCAAAAGAAAAGAAAGAAAGAAAAAAGGAGAUAUGUUUGGAGACCAGGGAACAGUUCAGUUUAGCCAGAUCAAGGUGUAGACCCAGCUGCGUCAUGAUUUUCGUAGGAGCCUUGAAAAUCAAGCUAAGGAAUUUGUAUUUUUGAUUCUAUAAGUAAUGGAGGGGGGCAUUAAAAGAUUUUGUGCAGGAGAAUCUAUGACUCAAGUUAGGUUUCAGUAAAUUUAGUUGGUUUUGAGUGGGGAGAAGCAGUUAGUGCAAAUAGGAUGUAACCCUCAUGGCCUAGAAAGGAUGCUGAGAACAUAAUCUUGGUGGUAGAAAUGGAAAUUGAAGGAAGAGACAGAUAUAAAAUACAGAAAGAACCAACAAGUCUUGGUGACUUAUUCAUCAUGAUGAGAAUACCAUAGAGAAGGAGACUCUUGCUUUUUUUUUUUUUUAACAACAUGCCUCAAAAAAUGUUGCCACGAUAAUUGUUUUCAGAAGAUAGAGCAUGUCUUUUUAGACAUACUGACUUUAAGGUGCUGGUAAAACUUUCUUAUGAGUCUGACGAGCAGAAGAGGAAUGGAGCAGACUAUACACUCAAGAGAUAACUCCCCAUCAAAAUAAGAAUCAAAGCCACACUUUGAUUAGGAAGAGAGUAUAGAGGGAGAAGAUAAUUAAAAGACAACCAUGUGAAAGGCUGCACAAAAUGGGCAAAAAGAGGAAAUAAGUGUCAUAAAAGGAGAUCUGGCUGGGCGCGGUAGCUCACGCCUGUAAUCCUAGCACUUUGGGAGGCCGAGGCAGGAGGAUCACUUGAGGUCAGGAGUUCAAAACCAGCCUGACCAACGUGGUGAAACGCCAUCUCUACUAAAAAUACAAAAAGAAAAAAAAAAUUAGUCGGGCAUGGUGGCGGGUGCACCCGUGAUCCUGGCUACUCGGGAGGCUGAGGCAGGAGAAAUGCUUGAACCCAAGAGGCAGAGAUUGCAGCGAGCCAAGGUCACGCCACUGCACUCCACCCUGGGCAACAGAAUGAGACUCCGUCUCAAAAAAAAAAAAAAAAAAAAAAGAGAGAUCUGAGAGAAAUCAGAGAAAGGAGAAUAAUUCAGUGCAAGUGGGAAAGGCUUCAUUCAUUCAAUAUCUGUUGUUGAGCAAAUAUUACAAGUCAGACUUCAUGCUCAAUACUGGGGAUAAAGUGGUGGACAGGACAGAAUACUUCUGCUCUCACAGAGCUCACAGUCUUCCAACACAUGUUGGUAAACAGCAUGAAACAUCCCAGUGAGUUCAGGACGACACGAAUUGAGAAAAGUCCCUCAGGACCUUUAACCAAAUGAAUACUUUUGGAAUGAAAUGGGUGCUUCAAUGCCCAAGGGUAAAUUAAUUUAUAAUAAUGGGUGCAGUUAUAUAAUUUUGAAAGAUUUUUCAGACUUGCAAAGGAUCCUUGAACAAACAAAAUACUCAUCUCCCCACAACCCCCUCCCUGCCUCACACGUUAAUCUACUUGAAAUAGUCGCUAAGAAGAGAGGCUAUUAAGUAAAAAAACACAUUCUGUUAUGUAUUAUUGAAAAGCAAUAUUAUUCACAUGUUCUGGAAAAAGUGAGAACACGAAAAAUAAAUAAAAGGACAAAAAAUAGUAAGAAGGGCUUAAUAAUUUAAGCCCAGAAAUAUAUCUUCAAAACAAUCAACCACUACCUGGCCUACAAUUCUCCAGAAAUCUUGCACACAGAUUUUAUAUUGCAUGGCUCAUUAAUUUCCAAACCAUCCACAGCUUUAUUUUAUGAGAGGGCAUAAGCUUCAGGCCUGGGGAGAGAGGGUGGCUGAAUUUCAACACUUUGUCCUAUCAUUUGUUUAGUACACCUCUUACAUUUAUAUGACAUAAAGAAAAUAAAAUAAUGAUUGUAUGAUGAAAAGCUUUUCAUGGAUUCAGAAUAAAUGG